AUGUCAGCGACACUACUGCCUGGAUUUGCGUCUUUGACUGUUUCAGACAGAAAAAUGAAAGCAAACUUUUCUCACGCCCCAGUGGGUCAGUCUUGUAAAGCAGGCGUCGGGGAGGCAUGGAGGCAUCUGUGCGCGGCCCCAACCAUCAGGCGAGAUGCAGCUCAGGUGGCAGCGGUCUCGCUCCCUCCCCCGCGGCCUGACCCAUCAGCAAAGGGCCGGACCCUCCCCAAAGCCGCUCGGACCCACCCGCGCGCCCGGAGCCGCGGGAGCGCUCGGCGGGCACCCGGACGCAGGUGCGCGCCUCUCCGCCCUCGGCCGCCGCGCAGGCUCCCCGCCUGGCGGGGGAAGGCAGCGCUCGUCUCCGCGCCGCCCGGCAGGAAGCCCGGGGAAGGCCGCCACGAACGCCUGCGCCCCGGAGAUCGCGCCCGGGAGUCCGGGCCCGUUCCUUUUCUUCUCUGGACUCGUUUGGUCUCCACGCUGCUUCUGUCACGACAGGUGCUGGGAAAACAGCAUCAAGAAGACAGAUAAAAAUCCCGGUUCUCAGGAAGCUUAUAUUCUGGUGGAUAGAGGCUGAAAACAAACAUAUUCAUUCCGCUGCUUCCUUGCUACUGAUGAAUAUUCACCUUGCUGUCAGCAUUGUGCUGUUAUAAAUGGUAUAAAGAUGAGGACCGGCAGGGCAGGAGGUGAAGGAAGCGGCUCAAGUGUACACAGCAGGUGGGAAGGAGCAGCUAAAGCAGAUCCAAGGUCAAGGAGCUGUCCAGGCAGAAGAAUUGUGACACCUCCGGCUGAACAGUGGCCCCCAACCGUCGCCAGGUCCUAAUCCCUGAGCUCAGCCUGAGCCUCAGCGCACCCUGACGUGCCCGCUGGUCCAGAAUCUAAUCAGGAGACAGAACCAACGCAGGUUACUUCCGCAGGGAGAGGAGUCAGAUGCUGGAGAAAUGAAAAGGUUUGAAGGCGCAUGCAGGUGUCCAGGAGGCAGUAACUGCAGAAACCAGGUGCCACCCUAGGGCUGGGGCGACCAAGGGAAGAGCUUGUCAGUAAGAAAACGGAACCCCGAAGGAGCUGUCCCCGGACUCAGACUCCGAUCUCAGCCUUUGUGAGGUGGUUGAUGCCUUUGACGGGGUGCUGACCCUAGAAAAGCUGCAAAGGGGGUUCAGCAGCUACUGAUGCGGUAAACUGCCCUCACUGGAAGAUGCGUGGCCGGGGCUCCGCUGAGGGACCAGGAAGCAGAAGCCAAGGAGAAGCCCUUCAGCCUUCAAGCCUCCCUCCAGUGUCUCCUCCUGGCCGGCAGAUUUGAGCCCACAGCCAGGUGCCAAGGGAGAAAGUACUUUUCCUGUGUUGGCUCAGCCCGAGCACCACUGGGCAGAGUCUGGAAGGGGGGGGUUGAGGCCAAGAAGUAGGAGCUUAAUCAUAUCUGGAGUGAAAGGUAAGUGACAUGCCCCCUCCCCUCCGCCGCCAGCCCCGCUCCCCUUCUUUUUUAGCCCAACGUUCUGGCUCCAAAGAAGCUUUGAGCUGGUUUCCAAUAAAAGCACAUACUAACCAG
Molecule: long non-coding RNA, 1543 nt
Filed under: Sus scrofa (pig)
Lineage: Eukaryota; Metazoa; Chordata; Mammalia; Artiodactyla; Suidae
Description: lncRNA (ENSSSCG00070010188.1)
Source: RNAcentral